AGAGUUUGAUCAUGGCUCAGAUUGAACGCUGGCGGCAGGCCUAACACAUGCAAGUCGAACGGUAACAGGAAACAGCUUGCUGCUUCGCUGACGAGUGGCGGACGGGGGAGUAAUGUCUGGGAAACUGCCUGAUGGAGGGGGAUAACUACUGGAAACGGUAGCUAAUACCGCAUAACGUCGCAAGACCAAAGAGGGGGACCUUCGGGCCUCUUGCCAUCGGAUGUGCCCAGAUGGGAUUAGCUAGUAGGUGGGGUAACGGCUCACCUAGGCGACGAUCCCUAGCUGGUCUGAGAGGAUGACCAGCCACACUGGAACUGAGACACGGUCCAGACUCCUACGGGAGGCAGCAGUGGGGAAUAUUGCACAAUGGGCGCAAGCCUGAUGCAGCCAUGCCGCGUGUAUGAAGAAGGCCUUCGGGUUGUAAAGUACUUUCAGCGGGGAGGAAGGGAGUAAAGUUAAUACCUUUGCUCAUUGACGUUACCCGCAGAAGAAGCACCGGCUAACUCCGUGCCAGCAGCCGCGGUAAUACGGAGGGUGCAAGCGUUAAUCGGAAUUACUGGGCGUAAAGCGCACGCAGGCGGUUUGUUAAGUCAGAUGUGAAAUCCCCGGGCUCAACCUGGGAACUGCAUCUGAUACUGGCAAGCUUGAGUCUCGUAGAGGGGGGUAGAAUUCCAGGUGUAGCGGUGAAAUGCGUAGAGAUCUGGAGGAAUACCGGUGGCGAAGGCGGCCCCCUGGACGAAGACUGACGCUCAGGUGCGAAAGCGUGGGGAGCAAACAGGAUUAGAUACCCUGGUAGUCCACGCCGUAAACGAUGUCGACUUGGAGGUUGUGCCCUUGAGGCGUGGCUUCCGGAGCUAACGCGUUAAGUCGACCGCCUGGGGAGUACGGCCGCAAGGUUAAAACUCAAAUGAAUUGACGGGGGCCCGCACAAGCGGUGGAGCAUGUGGUUUAAUUCGAUGCAACGCGAAGAACCUUACCUGGUCUUGACAUCCACGGAAGUUUUCAGAGAUGAGAAUGUGCCUUCGGGAACCGUGAGACAGGUGCUGCAUGGCUGUCGUCAGCUCGUGUUGUGAAAUGUUGGGUUAAGUCCCGCAACGAGCGCAACCCUUAUCCUUUGUUGCCAGCGGUCCGGCCGGGAACUCAAAGGAGACUGCCAGUGAUAAACUGGAGGAAGGUGGGGAUGACGUCAAGUCAUCAUGGCCCUUACGACCAGGGCUACACACGUGCUACAAUGGCGCAUACAAAGAGAAGCGACCUCGCGAGAGCAAGCGGACCUCAUAAAGUGCGUCGUAGUCCGGAUUGGAGUCUGCAACUCGACUCCAUGAAGUCGGAAUCGCUAGUAAUCGUGGAUCAGAAUGCCACGGUGAAUACGUUCCCGGGCCUUGUACACACCGCCCGUCACACCAUGGGAGUGGGUUGCAAAAGAAGUAGGUAGCUUAACCUUCGGGAGGGCGCUUACCACUUUGUGAUUCAUGACUGGGGUGAAGUCGUAACAAGGUAACCGUAGGGGAACCUGCGGUUGGAUCACCU
This 1530-nucleotide ribosomal RNA is filed under the name Escherichia coli KTE64. RNAcentral's name for it is "bacterial SSU rRNA". It matches the Rfam family "Bacterial small subunit ribosomal RNA". Lineage: Bacteria; Pseudomonadati; Pseudomonadota; Gammaproteobacteria; Enterobacterales; Enterobacteriaceae. The record is from RNAcentral.